This is a long non-coding RNA of Triticum aestivum (bread wheat), 1146 nucleotides long. RefSeq lists it as uncharacterized. The transcript has 2 exons. Lineage: Eukaryota; Viridiplantae; Streptophyta; Magnoliopsida; Poales; Poaceae. The record is from RefSeq and is a predicted model, not a curated record.
GGAGCUCCUCCACCCCAGACGCGGCCGCCUCCUUUUUCCACCGGCACCGGGACGGCGCGGCAGCCCCCUUUUUCCUCUGGCACCGGGACGACGCGGCCGCCGCCUAUGCUGCUCCAUCCCACCGCAACGUCGUCGCUGGCCCUAGCCACGACUUUGUCGACGCAGCGACCGGAUCGGCGGAUCCAGCCCGUAUGGUGCGGCUGCGGCGGCUGAAUCCAUGACGGCGACGACGUCCAGCGGUUCCCGCCGGCCCAAGCAGGUCCAUCUUCUCCUCCAACCCCUCUCAUGGGCUCCUCGCUGUCGCCUCGAUGGCUGGGCCCCCUCCGCAACCGCCGGCCACCGGCAGCAGCCCCAGGGCCGAUGGUGACGUCCAGGCUGCGGCAUUGCUCAACACCGGCGACCUCGACGCCUAGCCCCAGCAAGCAUCUCUCUCUCUCUCUCUCCCCUAGUUCUUCUUUUAUGUUGUGCCAGUACGUACCACGGUGGCCAUCCAUUGUCCAGGCCCGUCCAUGCAUUGCAGAUUUUUGUGUAUGUGACUAUAAAGUGUUUGAUGAAAAAACAAGCAGGGUAGGAAAAGAUUUAUUUCUGUUUAUGCUCUUUUGUGUAAUCAAUAUUUCUUUUUCUUCUGAUGGGUGGUUGGGGGUUUGUUUUGGGAUGUUUCAUUGAAUUUGAAAAGACUUUUCAUGCUUACUUGGAGGCACCAAGGUCAACUAAUUCUGAUCCUAGCAUAAGUAUACUCAAAGGGAGUAUUAAUUAGGUACAGUCUGUUUAGAACAUUGCACUGUGUUUUUGCUUUGCUAAUACUGAUGUGUAAGUCAAGAAUGUGCGAGUAUAUGGACCUUUCUCUUUUGAAUAAAGAGAUGUGUAAACAACAAACUGAUGCAUAAACGUACAAAUUUUGUUCACUAGAUACACUCCAUGUUCAACACAGAUGAUCAUCCUUGAUAUGACAAGGUCAACUAUUUUCCUAAUAAUUAGUGGUUAUUUCCUAUGAGGGAGCCUUUCUACAUCUCACAUAGCAGAUCUUCUUUGCAACUCUCUUGCUCUCUCAUAAGAAGCUAUACUUGCAAGGGCCUCAAAGAAAAAAGUCUGUAUUCAACAGACAGUAUUGAAGCAUCAUUUUCGAAUAUAAAUUGGUUUUGUUUA